RNAcentral lists this ribosomal RNA (406 nucleotides) under uncultured bacterium. Its description in RNAcentral is "bacterial SSU rRNA". It matches the Rfam family "Bacterial small subunit ribosomal RNA", at positions 355 to 775 of the family's 1533-position model. The record is from RNAcentral.
UGGGGAAUAUUGGGCAAUGGGCGAAAGCCUGACCCAGCAACGCCGCGUGAGGGAAGAAGGCCUUCGGGUUGUAAACCUCUGUCCUUGGUGACGAGAAAAAUGACGGUAGCCAAGGAGGAAGCCCCGGCUAACUACGUGCCAGCAGCCGCGGUAAUACGUAGGGGGCGAGCGUUGUCCGGAAUUACUGGGCGUAAAGGGUGCGUAGGUGGCCUUUUAAGUUGGAUGUGAAAUCCCCGGGCUUAACUUGGGUGGUGCAUCUAAUACUGGAGGGCUAGAGUGCAGGAGAGGGAAGCGGAAUUCCUAGUGUAGCGGUGAAAUGCGUAGAUAUUAGGAGGAACACCAGUGGCGAAGGCGGCUUUCUGGGCUGUAACUGACACUGAGGCACGAAAGCGUGGGGAGCAAGCAG